RNAcentral lists this transfer RNA (68 nucleotides) under Lepidoptera sp. 1 TS-2018. Its description in RNAcentral is "tRNA-Met". Lineage: Eukaryota; Metazoa; Arthropoda; Insecta; Lepidoptera. The record is from RNAcentral.
UUAAAAAUAAGCUAAGUUAAGCUUUCGGGUUCAUACCCCGAAUAUAAAGAUUACUCUUUUUUUUAAAA